GGUUGCGAUCAUACCAGUACUAAUGCACCGGAUCCCAUCAGAACUCCGCAGUUAAGCGUGCUUGGGCGAGAGUAGUACUAGGAUGGGUGACCCCCUGGGAAGUCCUCGUGUUGCAACCCC
This 120-nucleotide ribosomal RNA is filed under the name Helianthus annuus (common sunflower). RNAcentral also lists the same sequence under 1 other name. The record is from RNAcentral. Lineage: Eukaryota; Viridiplantae; Streptophyta; Magnoliopsida; Asterales; Asteraceae.